GAAGCGAACGCGGUGAACUGAAACAUCUAAGUAACCGCAGGAAAAGAAAUCAACCGAGAUUCCCAAAGUAGUGGCGAGCGAAAUGGGAUGAGCCUUGCACUCUUUAUUUGUAUUGUUAGCCGAACGCUCUGGAAAGUGCGGCCAUAGCAGGUGAUAGCCCUGUAGGCGAAAACAGUAUGAAAGAACUAGGUGUGCGACAAGUAGGGCGGGACACGUGAAAUCCUGUCUGAAGAUGGGGGGACCAUCCUCCAAGGCUAAAUACUCGUGAUCGACCGAUAGUGAACCAGUACCGUGAGGGAAAGGCGAAAAGAACCCCGGGAGGGGAGUGAAAUAGAUCCUGAAACCGCAUGCAUACAAACAGUCGGAGCCUCGUAAGGGGUGACGGCGUACCUUUUGUAUAAUGGGUCAGCGACUUACGUUCAGUAGCAAGCUUAACCGUAUAGGGCAGGCGUAGCGAAAGCGAGUCCGAAUAGGGCGUUCAGUUGCUGGGCGUAGACCCGAAACCAGGUGAUCUAUCCAUGGCCAGGAUGAAGGUGCGGUAACACGUACUGGAGGUCCGAACCCACUAACGUUGAAAAGUUAGGGGAUGAGCUGUGGAUAGGGGUGAAAGGCUAAACAAACCUGGAAAUAGCUGGUUCUCUCCGAAAACUAUUUAGGUAGUGCCUCGUGUCUCACCUUCGGGGGUAGAGCACUGUCAUGGUUGGGGGGUCUAUUGCAGAUUACCCCGCCAUAGCAAACUCCGAAUACCGAAGAGUGCAAUCACGGGAGACAGACAUCGGGUGCUAACGUCCGGUGUCAAGAGGGAAACAACCCAGACCGCCAGCUAAGGUCCCCAAAUAUAGCUAAGUGGGAAACGAAGUGGGAAGGCUAAAACAGUCAGGAGGUUGGCUUAGAAGCAGCCACCCUUUAAAGAAAGCGUAAUAGCUCACUGAUCGAGUCGUCCUGCGCGGAAGAUGUAACGGGGCUAAGCUAUAUACCGAAGCUGCGGAUGCGUGCUUGCACGCAUGGUAGGAGAGCGUUCCGUAAGCCUGCGAAGGUGCCUUGUAAAGGGUGCUGGAGGUAUCGGAAGUGCGAAUGCUGACAUGAGUAGCGAUAAAGGGGGUGAAAGGCCCCCUCGCCGUAAGCCCAAGGUUUCCUACGCAACGUUCAUCGGCGUAGGGUGAGUCGGCCCCUAAGGCGAGGCAGAAAUGCGUAGCUGAUGGGAAGCAGGUCAAUAUUCCUGCACCAUUGUUAGAUGCGAUGGGGGGACGGAUCGCGGAAGGUUGUCCGGGUGUUGGAAGUCCCGGUCGCUGCAUUGGAGAAGGCGCUUAGGCAAAUCCGGGCGC
This 1325-nucleotide ribosomal RNA is filed under the name Burkholderia cenocepacia. RNAcentral describes it as "partial 23S ribosomal RNA". It matches the Rfam family "Bacterial large subunit ribosomal RNA", at positions 176 to 1549 of the family's 2925-position model. The record is from RNAcentral. Lineage: Bacteria; Pseudomonadati; Pseudomonadota; Betaproteobacteria; Burkholderiales; Burkholderiaceae.